Molecule: ribosomal RNA, 409 nt
Filed under: Vibrio sp. P1-4
Lineage: Bacteria; Pseudomonadati; Pseudomonadota; Gammaproteobacteria; Vibrionales; Vibrionaceae
Description: bacterial SSU rRNA
Rfam family: Bacterial small subunit ribosomal RNA
Source: RNAcentral
UGCCCUGAUGUGGGGGAUAACUAUUGGAAACGAUAGCUAAUACCGCAUAAUGUCUACGGACCAAAGAGGGGGACCUUCGGGCCUCUCGCUUCAGGAUAUGCCCAGGUGGGAUUAGCUAGUUGGUGAGGUAAUGGCUCACCAAGGCGACGAUCCCUAGCUGGUCUGAGAGGAUGAUCAGCCACACUGGAACUGAGACACGGUCCAGACUCCUACGGGAGGCAGCAGUGGGGAAUAUUGCACAAUGGGCGCAAGCCUGAUGCAGCCAUGCCGCGUGUAUGAAGAAGGCCUUCGGGUUGUAAAGUACUUUCAGUCGUGAGGAAGGCAAUACAGUUAAUAGCUAUGUUGUUUGACGUUAGCGACAGAAGAAGCACCCGGCUAACUCCGUGCCAGCAACCGCGGGUAAUACGGG